RNAcentral lists this ribosomal RNA (521 nucleotides) under uncultured Rhodocyclaceae bacterium. RNAcentral's name for it is "bacterial SSU rRNA". It matches the Rfam family "Bacterial small subunit ribosomal RNA", at positions 8 to 526 of the family's 1533-position model. Lineage: Bacteria; Pseudomonadati; Pseudomonadota; Betaproteobacteria; Rhodocyclales; Rhodocyclaceae. The record is from RNAcentral.
AGAGUUUGAUCAUGGCUCAGAUUGAACGCUGGCGGCAUGCUUUACACAUGCAAGUCGAACGGUAACAGGCCUUCGGGCGCUGACGAGUGGCGAACGGGUGAGUAAUGCAUCGGAACGUGCCCAGUCGUGGGGGAUAACUACUCGAAAGAGUGGCUAAUACCGCAUACGAUCUGCGGAUGAAAGCGGGGGACCUUCGGGCCUCGCGCGAUUGGAGCGGCCGAUGUCAGAUUAGGUAGUUGGUGGGGUAAAGGCCUACCAAGGCGACGAUCCGUAGCGGGUCUGAGAGGACGGCCCGCCACACUGGGACUGAGACACGGCCCAGACUCCUACGGGAGGCAGCAGUGGGGAAUUUUGGACAAUGGGGGCAACCCUGAUCCAGCCAUGCCGCGUGAGUGAAGAAGGCCUUCGGGUUGUAAAGCUCUUUCGGCCGGGAAGAAAUCGCGCCAGCUAAUACCUGGUGUGGAUGACGGUACCGGAAGAAGAAGCACCGGCUAACUACGUGCCAGCCGCCGCGGUAAUUC